AAUAAGAGUAGUUUAACACUAUUUAUCUUUAACGUUUCAUCGUUUAUUUUAUUUAAAUAAAUUUUAUGAUUACUAUUUUUAUUAUUAUUAGAUGAUAAAACAUGAAUAGUACUUUAUGUGUGACUAAUUUUUUUAAAAUUUUUAAUAAUUUUUUUAAAUAAGACGGACGGUCAAAUAUUGGACACGGAUUUUCACCUCUGCAUUUAUU
RNAcentral lists this microRNA precursor (208 nucleotides) under Oryza sativa Japonica Group (Japanese rice). RNAcentral describes it as "MIR812 microRNA precursor family". It matches the Rfam family "MIR812 microRNA precursor family". Lineage: Eukaryota; Viridiplantae; Streptophyta; Magnoliopsida; Poales; Poaceae. The record is from Rfam by way of RNAcentral.